Molecule: long non-coding RNA, 731 nt
Organism: Haliotis rufescens (red abalone)
Lineage: Eukaryota; Metazoa; Mollusca; Gastropoda; Lepetellida; Haliotidae
Exons: 2
Source: RefSeq, a predicted model, not a curated record
UUACAUCCGGUGACAAACAACGUCUCGCGGCAAUGGCGACAGCAGUGUCACGUCGGACAGGGCCCGGCGAAUCAUAUUUGGAACACGCAGGUGUAACUUAGAAAAACAUGACACUGUCACAGUCAUUAAAACACUCGAGAUGGGGAACAUGAAUAGCAAGUGUUGGCUUGUCAAAGCAGUUGCAGUGUUGUCAAGACGUCCUAUGGUCGAUGUCAAACUGGCCGCUACCCAUUCAUAAAUAUUGAGUUGGGCCAUAUUUCCAUGUUUGAGGGGAGAAAGAUUUCCUCAUCUGACUCACGAGUAGAUGCAUAUGGAUCACCAGAAUUACCUUGAUGCCAAACAUAACUGCACCUCAAGAGCAUCUCGGACUAUAACAUAUUUCUUGGAAUAUUUUGUGGUCAAGCAUUGCAUUGCCUAUGAAAGAACAACUCUUGUUGUGUAUACAGGUGUAAACAUAUUAAAGUUCUAUCUGAAGUACUGGUUCUGUAAAUGAUGUCUGUGACCAUCAGAAUACACCAUAUACACUGGACACUUGCUGGAACAGGACCUACUUGUCAUCAACAUGGUGUUGCAGAACAUCUUGGGACUCUCUCAUAAAGUCCAGUGUGAAUCUAGAUACUGACACCAGAAACAGUGCAUGCUGGCACAUUUAUUUGUUCAGGCUUGGCAUUUUGGAAUAUUUGCCAUGAAUGUUUAAUACUCAUGACCUUGGAAUAAAAUUACUGAAUAGA